Molecule: ribosomal RNA, 1244 nt
Filed under: Enterococcus casseliflavus
Lineage: Bacteria; Bacillati; Bacillota; Bacilli; Lactobacillales; Enterococcaceae
Description: bacterial SSU rRNA
Rfam family: Bacterial small subunit ribosomal RNA
Source: RNAcentral
GAAAGAAAAAGAGUGGCGAACGGGUGAGUAACACGUGGGUAACCUGCCCAUCAGAAGGGGAUAACACUUGGAAACAGGUGCUAAUACCGUAUAACACUAUCUUCCGCAUGGAAGAAAGUUGAAAGGCGCUUUUGCGUCACUGAUGGAUGGACCCGCGGUGCAUUAGCUAGUUGGUGAGGUAACGGCUCACCAAGGCAACGAUGCAUAGCCGACCUGAGAGGGUGAUCGGCCACACUGGGACUGAGACACGGCCCAGACUCCUACGGGAGGCAGCAGUAGGGAAUCUUCGGCAAUGGACGAAAGUCUGACCGAGCAACGCCGCGUGAGUGAAGAAGGUUUUCGGAUCGUAAAACUCUGUUGUUAGAGAAGAACAAGGAUGAGAGUAAAAUGUUCAUCCCUUGACGGUAUCUAACCAGAAAGCCACGGCUAACUACGUGCCAGCAGCCGCGGUAAUACGUAGGUGGCAAGCGUUGUCCGGAUUUAUUGGGCGUAAAGCGAGCGCAGGCGGUUUCUUAAGUCUGAUGUGAAAGCCCCCGGCUCAACCGGGGAGGGUCAUUGGAAACUGGGAGACUUUGAGUGCAGAAGAGGAGAGUGGAAUUCCAUGUUGUAGCGGUGAAAUGCGUAGAUAUAUGGAAGGAAACAUCCAGUGGCCGAAUGGCGGCUCUGCUGGUUCUGUAACUGAACGCUGAGGCCUCGAAAGCGUGGGGAGCGAACAGGAUUAGAUACCCUGGUAGUCCACGCGUAAACGAUGAGUGCUAAGUGUGGAGGGUUUCCGCCCUUCAGUGCUGCAGCAAACGCAUUAAGCACUCCGCCUGGGGAGUACGACCGCAAGGUUGAAACUCAAAGGAAUUGACGGGGGCCCGCACAAGCGGUGGAGCAUGUGGUUUAAUUCGAAGCAACGCGAAGAACCUUACCAGGUCUUGACAUCCUUUGACCACUCUAGAGAUAGAGCUUCCCCUUCGGGGGCAAAGUGACAGGUGGUGCAUGGUUGUCGUCAGCUCGUGUCGUGAGAUGUUGGGUUAAGUCCCGCAACGAGCGCAACCCUUAUUGUUAGUUGCCAUCAUUUAGUUGGGCACUCUAGCGAGACUGCCGGUGACAAACCGGAGGAAGGUGGGGAUGACGUCAAAUCAUCAUGCCCCUUAUGACCUGGGCUACACACGUGCUACAAUGGGAAGUACAACGAGUUGCGAAGUCGCGAGGCUAAGCUAAUCUCUUNNNGCUNCUCUCAGUUCGGAUUGNAGGCU